Long non-coding RNA from Leptidea sinapis, 1655 nucleotides. RefSeq lists it as uncharacterized. NCBI's taxonomy places the organism in Eukaryota, Metazoa, Arthropoda, Insecta, Lepidoptera, Pieridae. The transcript has 2 exons. The record is from RefSeq and is a predicted model, not a curated record.
ACUGACUAAAUUUAUUUUACCUCAAGCAAUUUAGGACUCACUGUGAAAGUGAAGUGGUGCAACAAAUUCCUAAUUGAAUAAAUAGCAAAAAAAAACUUCAGAAUAAAAUUUAAAACCAAAACAUAUUUUGAGCGUAUUUCAUAUGUAUUUUAUUAUUGAAAGUAGAAUCCUCUAUUGUAUCGUAAAAGGAUUUUCUAGAACGGUUUGAAAUUGCCGUGAUUAAAGUGUAACUCAGUUUUGUGAGCCUACAAGUUUUCAUCCGCUUAGCUCAUUGUUUAAGAUCGGUGUAGAGGUGUAGGUAUACAUUCUAUAAUUUCAUGAUUACCUACCAAACAACCCAUACUAAUAUUUAACUAACUGUCGCCACUUCAAAAGCUCUUUAAACUAUAAGACAAAACCACAUGUCAGUCCAAUGUUACAUAAUAUUUAUCUUUGCUCAAUACAAAUUAUCACACAUGGACCAAGUAAGAGUUACUUCACACCUUUUUUAUAUCAAUCCAGUCAUAAACGGACGUACAUGAAAAUAUUCACGGUAACUGAUUAUCCUCGCCCGUUUCAUUCUUAACCCAGUCAGAAGUUACCCUAAUCUGAUUAAAUCAAAUAAAAAAAUCACAAAUUUCUGAAUAGUUGAGUCCAAAAACAUAAUUCGCCAAGUUUUUAGAGUCUCAGCAUUCCACAUGAGUAAUAAAAUUUAGGUGAAUACUACUUAUUAGAACAUACCUAAUAUACGGCUUCGUUUCGUUUCGACACAGGAACCAAGCAUCACAGAGCUUGCUGGCAAAGUAUAUCAGAAGUCAGGACUAUGUAAAGCUAUCAUACCGAGAAAAAACAAUUCCGUACCAAUAAAUUAUGAUUUUUAGUGAAAUCAUGAUGACAAACUAUAAAAGAAGAGCAGAUAGAAAUAGUCUCUAAGAUUUCAGUUCAUAACAUUAAAUAAUAUUAAAUUAAUCUAAGUUUUGUUUAGUGAGCUUAGUCUAUGAAAUGGUAAUCUCAAAAACUUUCUUAGGAACUUUGUAGGUUUUCGUUAGGCUCUGAGCGAUACGGAACGCCCAAACAGGGCUUAUGAUAUACAUCACAAACUUAUCGUUCUUAUCAAGAUCCAGCGUCCAUUUAGUUCUCCAUGGAAAUUCUAAAAUUAGGGAUAUAUUUAUAAACUAUGAUUGGAGAGAGAGGCGUGUUUGGGACGUAGGACGUGCGCAGCGCCUGGCGACAACUUACUGUCACUCAGUUUUGUGGAGGUUGUCUGUCGAGCGCCACCUGCCAUGCCGAACCACGAGACUACCAGCCUCAUCGCCACCUACCUCAUCCUGGUGCUCCUGCUGGCCAGUCUGUGGCUCCUUUACUCUGGAAUGUUCUGAGAUUGCAAAUGGGAACAAAAUGAAGAGACCAAAAGGAAUGGCUGAUAAUAAUUAAGUUUAAUUUAAGAAACUGUAGGCUUAAGAUUAACAUACCCAAGCAUUUAAGAGAUUACAAUGCAAUGCAAUUAAAACCCAUAAACAUGUGACGGAUCUGUAGCCGUGCUGGGCAUUCCAAUAAUCCAACAUACACAAAUAAUUUUAAAACGAUGAAGACAUCAACUGGACACAACCGCAGCGAUGGUACAUAUUAUUAUAGUAAUUCUUAAGAGCUUUUAAUAAAUCAUUGUUUUGAUUAAA